UGGCUCUGGUCGAGCUUGCGCUUCUUGGUCUGACCCUGUGCAGACGUCCCAGCAUGCAGCUGCACCUUCUUAUUCUUCUUCUUCUUGUUCUUCUUCCCUUUCUUAAAGGAUCGACGACCAGAAGAAGACCCUCCCACAACAUUCACCAACUCCUUAUGGAGUUGGUGAUCCUUCUCAAAGUUCUGCAGCAACUCCAACAAGCCGUGGUAGUUCACUGCAGGCUUUGUCAUUCGAAAAUGAGUAAGGAAG
Molecule: long non-coding RNA, 249 nt
Filed under: Elaeis guineensis (African oil palm)
Lineage: Eukaryota; Viridiplantae; Streptophyta; Magnoliopsida; Arecales; Arecaceae
Description: long non-coding RNA (EGUI_LNC080377)
Source: RNAcentral